UGUCAUUUUAGGCGAAAAUUGAAAGGGAAAAAGGGUCUGAUCCUUAAGAUUAAUGAGGUGCCAGUGCGCAAAGGCAGCCCUCAAAAUUCAGUUCAGUGUUAUGACUAGUUGCCGAAGUUUUAACGAACAUGAAAGUGGUUUGUAGCGUGAAAUCCUGUGGAGGUGGUUGGGCAACACUGUGCUGUGACUGGCGCAGAGAUGGCUGGAAACGUAGGGGGUUAGGAGUUGAGGAAGACGGGAUGGAGUAUAGUGUUGGAGUCGUGAGAGUAAAGGUUAAGAAGAGGACGCCUGAGGAGCCGUUGCAGUUCUUGUCGGGGGAGAGGAGGGAUGUUCGGUUCGCAGUGUUGUACUGAGAUAAAUGGAGUUCAUGGUGUUGGUGAAAGGUGAGGACGACGGUGGGGUCACUGCGAAGUGGCCUGCUAUGACAAGACAUCGGAACACCACGAUGCUGACGCGACGAAUGCUCCAUACCAAACAACUAUGGACUCUAGUGUGCAUGUGGUGUGAGUGUUCCCGAGCGUGUCCUUAUGUUUUGUUUUGUGUUGCUUUUAUCCUGUAACCUUUUAAUAAUAAGACAGAUAUUAAAGAACCGUAAACUGUC
Non-coding RNA from Salvelinus sp. IW2-2015, 601 nucleotides. Lineage: Eukaryota; Metazoa; Chordata; Actinopteri; Salmoniformes; Salmonidae. The record is from RefSeq and is a predicted model, not a curated record.